UACAGAGGGAUGCUACCGGGCGACCGGAUGCGGAUCUCGAAAGCCUGUCCCAGUUCGGACUGGAGUCUGCAACCCGACUCCACGAAGUUGGAUUCGCUAGUAAUCGCGCAUCAGCCAUGGCGCGGUGAAUACGUUCCCGGGCCUUGUACACACCGCCCGUCAAGCCAUGGGAGCCGGGGGCGCCUGAAGUUCGUGACCGCAAGGAGCGACCUAGGGCAAAACUGGUGACUGGGGCUAAGUCGUAACAAGGUAGC
Molecule: ribosomal RNA, 254 nt
Filed under: uncultured bacterium
Lineage: Bacteria
Description: partial 16S ribosomal RNA
Rfam family: Bacterial small subunit ribosomal RNA
Source: RNAcentral